Molecule: ribosomal RNA, 301 nt
Filed under: uncultured bacterium
Lineage: Bacteria
Description: partial 16S ribosomal RNA
Rfam family: Bacterial small subunit ribosomal RNA
Source: RNAcentral
CAGUCGCCGCGGUAAUACGAAGGGGGCUAGCGUUGUUCGGAUUUACUGGGCGUAUAGGGUGCGUAGGCGGAUUGUUAAGUCAGGGGUGAAAUGCCGGGGCUCAACCUCGGAACUGCCUUUGAUACUGGCGAUCUUGAGUCCGGGAGAGGUGAGUGGAACUGCGAGUGUAGAGGUGAAAUUCGUAGAUAUUCGCAAGAACACCAGUGGCGAAGGCGGCUCACUGGCCCGGAACUGACGCUGAGGCACGACAGCGUGGGGAGCAAACAGGAUUAGAUACCCCUGUAGUCCCUGUCUCUUAUAC